ACAAAUCCGUGUUGGUGUUGUGCGUGCAUUUUGUGUGCGUGCAGUAUCACAUAAACUCGGGGGGUAGUGGGAGGCGACUCUUGCUUCUCCCCGAUCAUCAUCAUAUAUGUAUGUGUAGUUGACUAAUUUGUGGACUAAUUUUUA
RNAcentral lists this unclassified non-coding RNA (144 nucleotides) under uncultured Pezizales. RNAcentral describes it as "sequence contains ITS1". Lineage: Eukaryota; Fungi; Ascomycota; Pezizomycetes; Pezizales. The record is from RNAcentral.